AUUGAACGCUGGCGGCAUGCUUUACACAUGCAAGUCGAACGGCAGCACGGGUGCUUGCACCUGGUGGCGAGUGGCGAACGGGUGAGUAAUGCAUCGGAACGUGCCCAUGAGUGGGGGAUAGCCCGGCGAAAGCCGGAUUAAUACCGCAUACGCCCUUAGGGGGAAAGCGGGGGAGUCUUCGGACCUCGCGCUAUUGGAGCGGCCGAUGUCGGAUUAGCUAGUAGGUGAGGUAAAGGCUCACCUAGGCGACGAUCCGUAGCUGGUCUGAGAGGAUGAUCAGCCACACUGGGACUGAGACACGGCCCAGACUCCUACGGGAGGCAGCAGUGGGGAAUUUUGGACAAUGGGCGCAAGCCUGAUCCAGCCAUGCCGCGUGAGUGAAGAAGGCCUCGG
This 393-nucleotide ribosomal RNA is filed under the name uncultured bacterium. RNAcentral describes it as "bacterial SSU rRNA". It matches the Rfam family "Bacterial small subunit ribosomal RNA", at positions 28 to 420 of the family's 1533-position model. The record is from RNAcentral.